Long non-coding RNA from Egretta garzetta (little egret), 2928 nucleotides. RefSeq lists it as uncharacterized. The transcript is spliced from 5 exons. NCBI's taxonomy places the organism in Eukaryota, Metazoa, Chordata, Aves, Pelecaniformes, Ardeidae. The record is from RefSeq and is a predicted model, not a curated record.
AAUCGGGCGGCGGCAGGAGCUGGAGCCUGUGUUUGCCCCUGGCCUCCUGCGCUUCCCCCCGCCGGGUGAGGACGGCGAUCCCCGACCUGCUGCAAAAAAGGCUCAAGACCCUGGGGCUGCUCAUGCUGCUGCUUUUGCCUUGUCUGGGCCCAGGGAUGUUGGGGCGCUGCGGGCAGGGAGGAAACCCUUUCUACAAACACUGGCUGGCAGCAGCGCUGCCCUUGAGCGGCUCUGCCCAGCUGCACACAAAUCCUCCAGAGCCCUGCUCUGCCCAGUGCCCCCGCCGUGGGACGCGUCCAGCAGAGAUUCGCAAGCCGAGCAGGAGAGGUGAGAAUGAUGGGCAUAAGGAAACAUAUGCAUCUCCGGUGGCAAUUUGACUUGUGUUUGAAAUAUUAGUACUUACUGUGCUGCUCCUUCCCUGAGAAGAUUGUCGUUGUUAAGCAAUAACCGGACAUCUGGAGAAGAGAGUGUUCAGGGGGUGCAUGAGUGAUGAAUUUUGCAGCUAUACGCACCUACAAGGAAGCAAAAACUAAUUAAACUAAAGACAAAAGAUAACUUACUGAGUUCAUACAUACUGCAACCUACACUGAAGCAAUUCACCAACAAGCCCAACUCUGACAGUGACAGGAAGUGCCAGAUUUAGGGAGAAAUCUAGGCACACAUUGUCAAAAUGGAAACAGUCGGUCUUGUAAGACCAGAUUUUUUUUCAGUGUGACCAAGCAGAAGAAUUCCAAAGGUACUCGAGAAGAAUUGCAAACUUCACGUGGGCACCUGUAAAAAUGUGAGCUGUUCAACCUGCACAGUACCGACCUAUUUAGAGAAUAUGAAUGCUUGCUAGAAGCUCUUCUUGGUGAUGUUCUUAAACAAUGUUUUUUCCUGAUCCUUGCUAGUAAUCAGAAACCUAAAUGCCAAGGUAUAGAAAGAGUAAGAAACUGCUGCAGUGAAAGUGACACUGUAAUGAGGUGGUAACCUACAGCACCACCACACAGCGAAGGAGCGUCUGACACACCGUGAGACACCGCCAUGCCCUGCGAUGCAACUUGCUUGUUGCUGAUGAGCGGCUGGAGGAGGUGCCACUGCUUCACAGCAAACAGCGUGUGAAGGAUGAGAGGUUGAUCCCUCUAGAAAUGGAGCAGCAAAUCAAUUACAUCAACUGCCACGGACUGCUUCCAGAGUUAAUUAUGCCUCACGGACUUUGAAAAGCCACUGACGUGCUCAGAGUGCAGAAGGGGUAUGGAGACACAAAGUAAAAAGCUGGGAACUGACAGAGAUGAGGGAGGUGAUGGAAAAUGCCAACGUGAACCAGGGAAGUCAGACAGAGCCUCCAAAUGAAACCAUCCGAACUUCAGCAGGUGACCUCCCCCCACCCCCUGAUCCUCUACUGCUGCCCUGGUCACUUGUAACCCUGUGCAGUAGCCGCUGCCUGUGCCGUGCCGGGUUACUCCUCUUAUCUUGUAGUAUUUUACUGGAAACUGUACUGUAGCCCAGACACAAAGUGUCGCAGCAGUGGAAGAACUAAGGCAUCUGGAACUGUGAGUGGUACCAGAAACAGCUGAAAAGGCCAACUGUAAGGGAAGUACCCAAAUGUCUGCAAACUUUAAAGCCGGAAAAGAAAAACCCCUUCUCUUCUAAAAAAUCUCGCUUAAGAUUAUCUGUGCUAAACAUGGAGUUGCUUUAAAUUGAAUUGAGGUUGCCUGAGCUGGGACAUGAAGUAGAAUGUAGGCUCUGAUUUCAAGCAAAAUCCCUUCUACUCUGCCAAACGAAGUACUUGGGUGCAUGCAGCUCUGAAGAGCCUCUUGUUGAAGGACAAAUCUUCCCCGCAAGUGCUUUGAAAGAACCGGAGACUUCAGGUGAACACAGCUGGAGGGGGAGAAAAAUGCCUCAUGACCCCAGGUUCUUGCACCACUGGCUCUCCUUCCCAGACUGAACGGCUAGGCUAGGCGUAGCCUAACUGCAGGGACCCCAGUUCUCCUUCCAGCUCUGUUAGGGACUUGCUAGAACACCAUGGGCAAUUUACUGCGUUUCCUUCGCUCUCAAACCUGCACCACCAUAAAGCCCAACAUGAUAAAGCCUUACUUUUGUUUUAAUUUUCACAUCAAAUGUAACAAUGCCUUUGAUUUUAGGAGUUCAAAUGAAAUUCAACCAAAUGACAGAGUAAAAUAUUUUAUACAGGAUUGGAUAGAUUUCAGUAACAUGCUAAAGACUGUAUGAAUUCUGUUCUGGAAUACUCACUUCAAACAAUGCUCAUGUGAUCUAAAAUAUUAACUAAAGGACGAAUUGCACCUUUAAAGCUCUAUCUGCUUGUUUCACAAUGGCUGACUGUAAUGAAGCCGAAAUUGGCAAUUUAAGGGAGAAAUGAGAGCAGGCUCCAAGCUCCAGGAUCCUUGGAGAUCUAUGAGCCUUAAUGCUCCGCUUCAGAACAUUAAAGAACAAAGCAAAAAGCUAUGUAUAAUAUUUUUCUGACAUAAGGAGGAGUAGCGGUGGAUUUGUUAAGUACCGUUUGUAGGUAACUGGUGCCUACAGGCUUGCAGAAAAGGCUACGUGUUAAUUUGCUACGUGAAACUUGGUGCUGCUUGUGAGACUGUCCCUCUUCCACAUUCCUACGCAAGAGGAACAGUCUGCUCGUCUCUCCAUUCCCUAAAAUAAAUAUUGUUCCCUUUGCUUUCGCUUAGUCCCUUCCACACGGUAUCCUUUGUAGGAUCUACAUCAAAGUUACGGUCAGCAGCUGGGGCAAGCAGAAAAGGGGAAAACACGCUCUGAAGGUGUUUGGGAACCGGACAGGUUUCACGGCGCCUUUUACAGACGCCGCUAACUUUGCUGACCUGGGAAAAGAAAGGCGAGGAGCAAAAAGCCCAUUUUCACGCGCAAAGACGCGCCGAGGCACCUCGGCUGCACCCGGGCAAUAAGGAAACCGAAGCGCGAAGCCUU